AACAUCGCGCACCUGCGGGAACCUGCGGAGGGAUCAUUAUCGAGUGUAACCUACCCCCUAAAAAAGGGUAGUACCUCCCGUCCUUUGCAGGCCUCUUUUUUAUAAGGGGGGCUUUUAAGACUUUCUGCUUCGGCGGGGUUAUUCCCGCCGGAACACCCUUAAAAAAUUCUCAAAAAAAAUCGUUCAGUCCGAGUACUUUUUAAAAAUAUAAAAAAAACUUUCAGCAAUGGAUCUCAGAUC
RNAcentral lists this unclassified non-coding RNA (240 nucleotides) under soil metagenome. RNAcentral's name for it is "partial contains 5.8S ribosomal RNA, internal transcribed spacer 2, and large subunit ribosomal RNA". The record is from RNAcentral.